GUAAUACGUGGAUAACCUGCCCUUGGGUCCGGCAUAACCCCGGGAAACUGGGGAUAAUUCCGGAUAACGCACAUAUGCUGGAAUGCUCUAUGCGUCAAAUGGAUUCGUACGCCCAAGGAUGGGUCUGCGGCCUAUCAGGUAGUAGUGGGUGUAAUGUACCUACUAGCCUACGACGGGUACGGGUUGUGAGAGCAAGAGCCCGGAGAUGGAUUCUGAGACAUGAAUCCAGGCCCUACGGGGCGCAGCAGGCGCGAAAACUUUACAAUGCGGGAAACCGUGAUAAGGGGACACCGAGUGCCAGCAUCCUAUGCUGGCUGUCCGGGUGUGUAAAAUACACCUGUUAGCAAGGGCCGGGCAAGACCGGUGCCAGCCGCCGCGGUAACACCGGCGGCCCGAGUGGUGAUCGUGAUUAUUGGGUCUAAAGGGUCCGUAGCCGGUUUGGUCAGUCCUCCGGGAAAUCUGACAGCUUAACUGUUAGGCUUUCGGAGGAUACUGCCAGACUUGGAACCGGGAGAGGUAAGAGGUACUACAGGGGUAGGAGUGAAAUCUUGUAAUCCCUGUGGGACCACCUGUGGCGAAGGCGUCUUACCAGAACGGGUUCGACGGUGAGGGACGAAAGCUGGGGGCACGAACCGGAUUAGAUACCCGGGUAGUCCCAGCCGUAAACGAUGCUCGCUAGGUGUCAGGCAUGGCGCGACCGUGUCUGGUGCCGCAGGGAAGCCGUGAAGCGAGCCACCUGGGAAGUACGGCCGCAAGGCUGAAACUUAA
This 768-nucleotide ribosomal RNA is filed under the name uncultured archaeon. Its description in RNAcentral is "bacterial SSU rRNA". It matches the Rfam family "Archaeal small subunit ribosomal RNA", at positions 93 to 859 of the family's 1478-position model. The record is from RNAcentral.